Molecule: ribosomal RNA, 495 nt
Filed under: uncultured bacterium
Lineage: Bacteria
Description: partial 16S ribosomal RNA
Rfam family: Bacterial small subunit ribosomal RNA
Source: RNAcentral
GAUGAACGCUGGCGGCGUGCCUAAUACAUGCAAGUCGAGCGAACAGACGAGGAGCUUGCUCCUCUGACGUUAGCGGCGGACGUGAGUAACACGUGGAUAACCUACCUAUAAGACUGGGAUAACUUCGGGAAACCGGAGCUAAUACCGGAUAAUAUAUUGAACCGCAUGGUUCAAUAGUGAAAGACGGUUUUGCUGUCACUUAUAGAUGGAUCCGCGCCGCAUUAGCUAGUUGGUAAGGUAACGGCUUACCAAGGCGACGAUGCGUAGCCGACCUGAGAGGGUGAUCGGCCACACUGGAACUGAGACACGGUCCAGACUCCUACGGGAGGCAGCAGUAGGGAAUCUUCCGCAAUGGGCGAAAGCCUGACGGAGCAACGCCGCGUGAGUGAUGAAGGUCUUCGGAUCGUAAAACUCUGUUAUUAGGGAAGAACAAAUGUGUAAGUAACUAUGCACGUCUUGACGGUACCUAAUCAGAAAGCCACGGCUAACUACGUG